UUCGAGUGAUAUUUAGAUUGCUCGCCUCUCUUUCUUGUUCGUUCUUCGAUUGCGGACAGGAAUCGAUCUUCGUGAUCAGGCUGAUCUCGCACCGGCGAGGUUGGUAACCAUCGGGAGUUGGUUCAGCGAUUGCAUUGGCGCUUCGGGUUCGCUCGUCGUAGUCGGAUCGUGAGGGUCUACUUCCACCAAGUCGAAUUUAUCUCCACUCACCGAAAGAUCGGGCACUCCGACUCUAUCACCAGCGGCUUGUCGUAAUAGGGCAGCAUGGUGGCAAGAAGGGGAGAGGUGGCGUGAGAGGGCGGAGAGCUUGGGUUGGUGUUCGGGUAGCAUAACGGGGCUACCUUGGAAGUUUCCAUGGCAGCAUGAUGGCCGGGGAAGACCAGUGGCAAGUGGUGGUGAUGAGAGAGUGCGGAGCGGUCGUCAAAGGGUCACUUUGGCACUAGGAGGAGAUGGCUAGGGGCUUGCGAUGAUCCUUGACUUCAAACCGGCCCGAUCCUUGGAGAAAGGAGGCGGCAAGCUUGGGUCCUAAUCCAGCGGGAGGGAGAGGAGGUGGUGGUGGUGGGGAGGAACUGGGAGGGGCUAUUUAUAGACCUAGGAAGACCGCGUUGUGCAGCUCAAGCUGUCAGAUAAGGAGGAGGGGGAAUUGAGGAGUUCGUGGGUGACUAAUGGCAGGCGGCUGCGCGGCGGUGCUGUGUGCAUGGGAGUGGCGGUCUGGUGUGCGUGGCAGGGUGGUGGAGAGGGGGUUUUGGGCAUGGAUAAGAGCAUGGGUAGAUGCGCGUGGAUGAGGUGGUCACAUGGGCCUAAUCGGAGGGGUGCUCCUUGCCGGGGUUGGCGUGGGAAGGGCCAGAGUUGCUGGGCUCUUGCGUUACCGGGUACGCAUGGGCGGUUAAGGUCAGUCAGGGGUAGAGGAGUGGUUUCGGCGUGGGAUGAGGAGUUUUGGCAAUGCAGCUGUUGACGCCAGAUUUUGACACGUGUGUAAUCGGCGUCAGGGAAGGAAGAAAUCAGAAGGAGCAGCGAGACACAGGGGUGGCGGUUGGGAAUCGGCCGAUUGGUGCUACAGUCAUGGACCGGCCGAUUGACCUUUGGAGUUCCGCCUCGCCCGACCCCUGAGGCCUGGGAUCGGAUGCGCCCGACCCUCCGAGGGAGGAUUUCCGCCUCGCCCGACCCCUGAGGCCUGGGAUCGGAUGCGCCCGACCCUCCGAGGAAGGAUCUCCGCCUCGCCUGACCUUAGGUCCCAGGGUCCGAAUAGUCAGAGCCCCCGACAUGUGGGUCCUAAUCGGCUAUCCCUUGCCGAUGAGGUGAAUAGAAAUCGGUCAAUUAGGAGGCCGGAAUAAUUGGGCCGGUUUGGGCCUAAAGAGGAUUAUGAAGAUGAAGAGGGAAUCAGCCCAUGAAGAGCGCGAUAAUCGACCUAGUACGAGUCUGUUGACGCUAGAUUUUGUCACUAGUAGAAUCAGCGCCAAGAGGAGAGAAAAUUGGAAAAAUACAGUUGGGAAUCGGCCGAAUGGCGCUACAGUUCUAGAUCGGUUGGUUGGCGCUACAGUCCAAGAUCGGCCAAUGCUACAGUGCGGGAUCGGCCAGUGACUUCUGCCUCGUUUCCGGGUCGGACACGCCGGGUUCCCGAUCGGUUACCUUUUGCCGAUAAGGAAUCGGCCGAUUAAGGAGGUUGGGAUAAUUGGGCCGGUAUGGGCUUGGAAAGGAAUAGAAGGAUAAGGGGGAGAUCAGCCCAUGAAGCGUAUAGUAACCAACCUAGCACGAAUCGUGCUUGUAAAUGUUCGUUUUCUAUUUGAAUUAGGGAUAGAAUUCUAGUCAGUUAAGGAGUCAUCUGUACAGGGCUAUAAAUAGCUACCUUUGUAAAUCUGUAAUCAUCAACAAAUCAAUACAACCAACUACUUUUUCCUCGUACUUACUUUCAAGCAGGCGACUUCGCCAAAUACUUUUUCUUUUCACGAGUUCGUGCGAGUUGGCAAGGCUGCAUCAACUUGAUCUCCGGCCAAUCUUGUAAGUUCCGUUUACCGAAUACACUCUAGGCUUUAACUUCGGGCGUAUCGCUGUUGUUUCGUUUAGAUUUAUUCACUAGUUAUCGAUAUUUACUAGAAUCAUAGGUUUUACCUGUCUUUCUAGUUUUAUCACCAGUUAUCCAGCUAGGAAUCGGCGGUUUCGGCUCUCUUUACAUUCUGUUAUUAAAUUCAUUUAUUUUAUAUUGCCGAUUAGAUCUAUUCCUAGUGUUGUUAUCAUAGCUUUGCGUCGAUUACUCCAGUAGUUUUCCGUCCACAAGGCUACAGUGAUCGGCUGUCUUAUAGCCGAUUUCUUUAUUACGGCAAAUCGGCCGAUUCGCUGAUAAGCUCUCUCGAGAUCGGAAAUUUAGCCGAUCGUGAUUUCUGGACCUGACACGUAUUCUUCCUUGCCAAUCAACAGGUCAGAUUGGCUGGCACGCCGCGCGAAUCGCACUAGGGCAAUCACCCGAACAGGAGUUAAGCAGAUUCUCCCGGGUCGUGUGUCAGACGCUGGGAUUCGGUUGACCGAUUUCUAGCGCCAACACACUUUUGGCACGCCCGGUGGGACCCAUACAACUGCCGCCAUGUCGAAAGCUGCUGAAGUCUCCGAAGAUAACGUCAUCGAGGUGACGGAAGCAGAUCUAAAGGAUGACCAGAAAGAAGAACUGGAUAAACAUAUGGCACAGUUCCGGAAAGCUUGCCUGCAGUCUUUCAGUCGCUCCAGAAGCGGGGAGACUAUCAAAAAGUCUCCAUUUCCUGCUCCCCGCCAGAUCACAAUCUCUGAGGACUCGGCCAAAAUGGCCGAUAUGGUUCAACAGUCUGUUUAUCACGCCUUCGUUGAUCAGUCCCCGGUACUUUCAAAUACGAUGUCCAACGCCGUUGUCAACUCCUUCGCUGGUGGGAUACCUCAAGGAUACAGGGGACCGGCGUAUACUCAGCCGAUUCCACCAAACUAGAGUUAUUUGAAUUCGGUUUCUCAGCCAAUCCAAUUUUCUGUCGGGAGUUCAGGUGCUUCCUCAUCAUCAGCUCCUAUGGGCUAUAACUCCAUCCAACUGUCUUCUGCACCAUUCCCUCCAGUUAGCCCAUCACCUUGGGGGGCACCAUCAGCCACGGCCGGUCAGAAUCAAUCGGCCAGUCAAGGAGGCCCUCCAUUCCAGGCAUCUUUCCAAGCGGCCAUUCGGCCGACCGUGUCGCCAUACCAGCCUGUCGCACUAGAGAUGAAUAAAACAGCAGAGCUCAUGCUGUAUGAUGAAACAAGUGGCUCAUUCAAACAGCCGAUUUUCAAUACACAGCCGGCUUUCACUCAGAUGCCACCUGCUUUCACUCAACAUCAGGCUAUUCCACCUCCGGUAUACCAGCACGUGCCAAUGCCUCAGCCAACGGUUCACCAGCAACAGCCAGAUUGGUCGGCACGUAUUGCGGAGGUGAUUCAGGAACAAUUCGGCUUAAAGCCGAAGGUACAAACUUACACCUAUAGGACACCAUACCCGUCUACAUAUGACCUACUGCCGUUUCCCCAUCGGUAUAAAGUUCCUGACUUCACCAAGUUCUCGGGGAUGGAUGAUACUUCAACCGUGGAGCACGUAAAUAGAUUCAUCAUCCAAUGCGGAGAGGCAGCUACGCAGGAUGCUCUACGGGUGCGAUUGUUCUCAUCAUCUUUGUCUGGUUCGGCCUUUCAGUGGUUCACGACAUUGCCGCCAAACUCGAUUAUCACGUGAGCCGAUUUAGAAAGACAGUUCCACAAAUACUUCUACGCCGGGGUGCAUGAGAUGAAGCUGUCCGAUUUGACCAGCCUCCGGCAGAGAAGUGACGAGCCGAUAUCCUCGUAUAUACAGAGGUUUCGGGAAAUCAGAAACAAGUGCUACUCUCUGGCUCUAACCGAUGCGCAGUUGGCCGAUAUAGCUUUCCAAGGCCUUCUGCCCCACAUCAAAGAAAAAUACGCCUCACAGGAGUUCGAGAGUUUAAGCCAAAUUGUCCACCGAUUGUCUGGACAGGAGGUACGCUCUUUCGAUCCACGAAGGAAUUUCCAGAAGAAAGUAGCGUUCCUGGAAGAGAUGGAGGACGAGGAAGAUGUUGAGGUCGGGCUUGCGGAAUGGGUCAAGGGAAAGAAGCCAAUAUCAUGCCCGUUCGGUAAAAAGGAGCCAGAAGCAUUCGGUUUUGACACAACAAAGGCCGAUAAAAUCUUCAACCUUCUCCUCCAGGAAGGGCAGAUCAAGCUCUCGCCCUAUCAUACAAUACCUUCUGCCGAACAACUAAAAAAGAUGAAAUAUUGCAAGUGGCACAACGCCACAUCCCAUGAUACUAAUGAGUGCAAAAUCUUCAGGCAGCAGAUACAAUCAGCCAUUGAGCAAGGCAGACUUAAAUUUGAAGUGCCGACAAAAUCGGCCAAACCAAUGAAGAUCGACCAGCACCCCUUUCCCACCAACAUGGUUGAUACAGGGAAGAAUUCACUCCAAACAAAGGUGCUGACGUCCGAAUCGGCUAAAAAGAGUGGUGCCGUUGACCCCAGAAAUCAAGCUACGCCUGAAGAUGUCAAGGGGAAGCGGCGGAUGGAGGACGACGAUGGCGAAUCGGAAGAGCCACGCAUUACUUCCCAGUUCCUGCUCCAAAAAUACCAGCGCCAGCAUGAACGCUCAAGAUCCCAGGAAGAAGCGAUGCGACGGCACGAAGAUCACUGGAGGUGCCCGUUCUUCAUCCACUGUUGGGAAAACAACCUUAGGCUACCUUCGGCCGAUAAUUGCCCAGAAUGCAACGGUCCGUAUCGUGGCAAUCGGCCGUUCAACAGGUCUCGCUCCAGAGACAGAAGGCCAGAACCAAUCAGCAGGAAUUGGCGCAACCAAGAUGACCAGCACCCUCCCGUGCGUGAUCGGCUGGGGGGCAGAAGUGACCGAUAUGAUCGGUGGGAAGAUAGACGCCACGACAGGCAGGCGGGCAGGACUGAUCGAUAUGACCAGUCAGAAAACAAGGACAACGUUCACAGUCGGCUUGAAGAGAUGGCCGACGCUCGGGUGAUAGACGAGAACCCUUUAGGGCACGAACCGGAGUGGGAACGCGCCAAGUCAGGGGGCAAACCAAUAAACCCCAGAUGGUGUCCCGACGGGUUGACCAAAUCUCAAAAACGAAGGAUCCAACAUCUCCGCCAAUGGGAACAGCAGGAAGAAGAACAACAGAGCACAACGGACAGGAAGGAAGGGAGGCCUCGGGUAUGGCGCCCCAAAAGAAACGAUAAAGGGGACGACGAGUCGGCAGGUGAUGAAUCGGCAGCCGAUAUUGGCAUGGUUUUCAUACUGCCGAUGGAAUUCAUGACUCCAGCCGAUCGACAGGAUAUGUCAGCAGUAGAAGAGCAGAUGGCACAGUUGGCUUUGGAGCCAAUGAUGGCCACGUUCGAGAAGCCUGAGGAUGACAAAUGACAACACCUGAAAGCUUUAUUCCUCAAAGGGCAUGUCAACGGUCGCCCCCUCACCAGAUUAAUGGUAGAUGGAGGAGCUGCGGUCAAUAUCAUGCCAUAUGCCGUUCUCCGGAAGCUUGGGAAGAGUGAUGAUGACCUGACCAAGAUAGACAUGAUGCUCAAAGACUUCGAAGGCGACGUGUCAAACGCUCGCGGCGCUCUCUGCGUCGACCUCACCAUCGGUAGUAAGACCCUUCCCACCACCUUCUUUAUUAUUAAUGGCAAGGGAUCCUACAACAUGCUACUCGGCCGGGACUGGAUACACGCAAAUUGCUGCAUCCCAUCAACAAUGCAUCAAUGUCUUGUACAAUGGGUCGGCGACAACAUCGAGGUAGUCAACGCCGAUUCCGCAUACAGCAUCGCGGCAGCCGACACGCAGCAGUGGAGCUACGAAACCGUUAGGUGCAUAUCCGGCAGAGUAUGGGAGACCGAUUUCCUGAAGGUCACCGAUUUUGGCCUGCAGCCGAUCCGAGCUGAUGAGGACACCACGAGUACAUCUACACCAGCAGCACCUCAGGCGCCUCCAGUUGCUCAUCCACCUCAGGCGCCUACAGUUGCUCAUCCAGUUGGGCCAAUCACUCGAGCCCGUGCGAGAGAAUUAAACUUCAUCAUGCUGUUAAGGAACGAAGGCCCAUCGGAAUAAGAAGAUGGCCCAACAGGGCAGCCCAGGUGGGGCGCCUAGGGUUGGGCGCCGUGACCCCUUCGGACUCCAGGGGCUGCGCCCCCUUUAUUUAGUCCGAGUCCUUUUUGUUUACGACUUGAGUUUUGUUUUACAUCUAGCUUUAGCUACUCUUGAACACGCGCAAAUACGCGCUGUCCUUGUGAUUCAGAACUCCACCUUCGAGUGAUAUUUAGAUUGCUCGCCUCUCUUUCUUGUUCGUUCUUCGAUUGCGGACAGGAAUCGAUCUUCGUGAUCAGGCUGAUCUCGCACCGGCGAGGUUGGUAACCAUCGGGAGUUGGUUCAGCGAUUGCAUUGGCGCUUCGGGUUCGCUCGUCGUAGUCGGAUCGUGAGGGUCUACUUCCACCAAAUCGAAUUUAUCUCCACUCACCGAAAGAUCGGGCACUCCGACUCUAUCAAGUGGUAUCAGCUUUCCAGGUUGAUCGGUGAGUUUUACCGAGUGUUUUUCCCUUCCUACAGUCCACAAAAACCAAAAGAAAUUUUUUCAGGUUAGAUCCUUGUCCCAGCAACCGUUUAGCCUCGCACAUUCUUUCAAUAAGUGUCUUUGUUGAAUUUGUGUGCCUACUCGUUCAAUUGUUGCUGGUUACUUGUGUUUAAUCUUUUGUUUCUCGUUUUUCAUCUAACCCUAGUUUUCGCCGCCGCCGCCGUUCCGCUGCUCGCCAACCCUACCAGCCGCGCCCACCGCACCUCCCCCCGCGACAACCGCGCCGCGCCAUCCCACUACUCCGAUCGCCCCUCCCCUGUCAAAAAAAAGAAAAAAAGAUCGAAAGCAAUCAAAAAAAAGGAAAGUGCAAAAAAAAAAAGGAAAGAAGCAAAAAAAAAAAAAAAAAAAGACGAAGAAGAAUCCAACAGGGAGAAGGAAGGUGAUUCGGAUUUGUUUCGGUGGAACCUCCCUUUGCGCGCGCCGUGACUCCUCCUGGGUCACGACUCUCUGGUGUUAAUUCCCCCCUCCC
Molecule: long non-coding RNA, 7074 nt
Filed under: Setaria viridis
Lineage: Eukaryota; Viridiplantae; Streptophyta; Magnoliopsida; Poales; Poaceae
Description: long non-coding RNA (SVIR_LNC009346)
Source: RNAcentral